Molecule: transfer RNA, 72 nt
Filed under: Deinococcus peraridilitoris DSM 19664
Lineage: Bacteria; Thermotogati; Deinococcota; Deinococci; Deinococcales; Deinococcaceae
Also listed under: 1 other name
Rfam family: tRNA
About the family: Transfer RNA (tRNA) molecules are approximately 80 nucleotides in length.
Source: Rfam by way of RNAcentral
GCCAGUGUAGCUCAGGGGUAGAGCAACUGAUUCGUAAUCAGUAGGUCGUCGGUUCGAAUCCGACCUCUGGCU